RNAcentral lists this ribosomal RNA (859 nucleotides) under Pseudostrickeria muriformis. RNAcentral's name for it is "SSU rRNA". It matches the Rfam family "Eukaryotic small subunit ribosomal RNA", at positions 240 to 1103 of the family's 1831-position model. The record is from RNAcentral. Lineage: Eukaryota; Fungi; Ascomycota; Dothideomycetes; Pleosporales; Melanommataceae.
UCCUUGGUGAUUCAUGAUAACCUAACGGAUCGCAUGGCCUUGCGCCGGCGACGGUUCAUUCAAAUUUCUGCCCUAUCAACUUUCGAUGGUAAGGUAUUGGCUUACCAUGGUUUCAACGGGUAACGGGGAAUUAGGGUUCGAUUCCGGAGAGGGAGCCUGAGAAACGGCUACCACAUCCAAGGAAGGCAGCAGGCGCGCAAAUUACCCAAUCCCGACUCGGGGAGGUAGUGACAAUAAAUACUGAUACAGGGCUCUUUUGGGUCUUGUAAUUGGAAUGAGUACAAUUUAAACCCCUUAACGAGGAACAAUUGGAGGGCAAGUCUGGUGCCAGCAGCCGCGGUAAUUCCAGCUCCAAUAGCGUAUAUUAAAGUUGUUGCAGUUAAAAAGCUCGUAGUUGAAACUUGGGUCUGGCUAGCGGGUCCGCCUCACCGCGUGCACUUGUCCGGCUGGACCUUUCCUUCUGGAGAACCUCAUGCCCUUCACUGGGUGUGUUGGGGAACCAGGACUUUUACUUUGAAAAAAUUAGAGUGUUCAAAGCAGGCCUUUGCUCGAAUACGUUAGCAUGGAAUAAUAGAAUAGGACGUGCGGUCCUAUUUUGUUGGUUUCUAGGAUCGCCGUAAUGAUUAAUAGGGAUAGUCGGGGGCAUCAGUAUUCAAUUGUCAGAGGUGAAAUUCUUGGAUUUAUUGAAGACUAACUACUGCGAAAGCAUUUGCCAAGGAUGUUUUCAUUAAUCAGUGAACGAAAGUUAGGGGAUCGAAGACGAUCAGAUACCGUCGUAGUCUUAACCGUAAACUAUGCCGACUAGGGAUCGGGCGAUGUUUCUAUCUUGACUCGCUCGGCACCUUACGAGAAAUCAAAG